This 693-nucleotide ribosomal RNA is filed under the name Bacillus sp. FJAT-4673. RNAcentral's name for it is "bacterial SSU rRNA". It matches the Rfam family "Bacterial small subunit ribosomal RNA", at positions 56 to 732 of the family's 1533-position model. The record is from RNAcentral. Lineage: Bacteria; Bacillati; Bacillota; Bacilli; Caryophanales; Bacillaceae.
UGCAGUCGAGCGACUGAUUAGAAGCUUGCUUCUAUGACGUUAGCGGCGGACGGGUGAGUAACACGUGGGCAACCUGCCUGUAAGACUGGGAUAACUUCGGGAAACCGAAGCUAAUACCGGAUAGGAUCUUCUCCUUCAUGGGAGAUGAUUGAAAGAUGGUUUCGGCUAUCACUUACAGAUGGGCCCGCGGUGCAUUAGCUAGUUGGUGAGGUAACGGCUCACCAAGGCAACGAUGCAUAGCCGACCUGAGAGGGUGAUCGGCCACACUGGGACUGAGACACGGCCCAGACUCCUACGGGAGGCAGCAGUAGGGAAUCUUCCGCAAUGGACGAAAGUCUGACGGAGCAACGCCGCGUGAGUGAUGAAGGCUUUCGGGUCGUAAAACUCUGUUGUUAGGGAAGAACAAGUACGAGAGUAACUGCUCGUACCUUGACGGUACCUAACCAGAAAGCCACGGCUAACUACGUGCCAGCAGCCGCGGUAAUACGUAGGUGGCAAGCGUUAUCCGGAAUUAUUGGGCGUAAAGCGCGCGCAGGCGGUUUCUUAAGUCUGAUGUGAAAGCCCACGGCUCAACCGUGGAGGGUCAUUGGAAACUGGGGAACUUGAGUGCAGAAGAGAAAAGCGGAAUUCCACGUGUAGCGGUGAAAUGCGUAGAGAUGUGGAGGAACACCAGUGGCGAAGGCGGCUUUUUGG